AAAAUUUGCAAUAAUUCUAUUGCAUUAUGCAUGAUCCACAAGGAUUCGUCACAAACACAACUACCACAAACACCGAUAUCCAACUACCACAAAUUUCUACUGUCUUCAAAACUCUUAACUACAAAUUUCUACUAUAACUCUUACCCAAAUUUCUUAUACCUGUGCAUUUAACUUAUACCUGAUUCGAAUCAAACUCCAAUAAAAAAAAAUUAUUUUACAAAUCGACAAACCUAACUUCCAAAA
RNAcentral lists this long non-coding RNA (243 nucleotides) under Aquilegia coerulea. RNAcentral's name for it is "long non-coding RNA (ACOE_LNC000074)". The record is from RNAcentral. Lineage: Eukaryota; Viridiplantae; Streptophyta; Magnoliopsida; Ranunculales; Ranunculaceae.